CCUACGGGAGGCUGCAGUGAGGAAUAUUGGUCAAUGGGCGCGAGCCUGAACCAGCCAAGUAGCGUGAAGGAUGACUGCCCUACGGGUUGUAAACUUCUUUUCUCAGGGACGAAGAAAGUGACGGUACCUGAAGAAAAAGCAUCGGCUAACUCCGUGCCAGCAGCCGCGGUAAUACGGAGGAUGCGAGCGUUAUCCGGAUUUAUUGGGUUUAAAGGGUGCGCAGGCGGCCUGUUAAGUCAGCGGUAAAAGCCCGGGGCUCAACCCCGGCGAGCCGUUGAAACUGGCGGGCUGGAGUUGGAGAGAACUACGCGGAAUGCGCGGUGUAGCGGUGAAAUGCUUAGAUAUCGCGCAGAACCCCGAUUGCGAAGGCAGCGUACCGGCUCCACACUGACGCUGAGGCACGAAAGCGUGGGUAUCGAACAGGAUUAGAAACCCUGGUAGUC
This 443-nucleotide ribosomal RNA is filed under the name uncultured bacterium. RNAcentral's name for it is "partial 16S ribosomal RNA". It matches the Rfam family "Bacterial small subunit ribosomal RNA", at positions 338 to 795 of the family's 1533-position model. The record is from RNAcentral.